This 497-nucleotide ribosomal RNA is filed under the name uncultured bacterium. Its description in RNAcentral is "partial 16S ribosomal RNA". It matches the Rfam family "Bacterial small subunit ribosomal RNA", at positions 28 to 507 of the family's 1533-position model. The record is from RNAcentral.
GAUGAACGCUGGCGGCGUGCCUAAUACAUGCAAGUCGAGCGAACGGACGAGAAGCUUGCUUCUCUGAUGUUAGCGGCGGACGGGUGAGUAACACGUGGAUAACCUACCUAUAAGACUGGGAUAACUUCGGGAAACCGUAGCUAAUACCGGAUAAUAUUUUGAACCGCAUGGUUCAAAAGUGAAAGACGGUCUUGCUGUCACUUAUAGAUGGAUCCCCUCUGCAUUAGCUAUUUGGUAAGGUAACGGCUUACCAAGGCAACGAUGCAUAGCCGACCUGAGAGGGUGAUCGGCCACACUGGAACUGAGACACGGUCCAGACUCCUACGGGAGGCAGCAGUAGGGAAUCUUCCGCAAUGGGCGAAAGCCUGACGGAGCAACGCCGCGUGAGUGAUGAAGGUCUUCGGAUCGUAAAACUCUGUUAUUAGGGAAGAACAUAUGUGUAAGUAACUGUGCACAUCUUGACGGUACCUAAUCAGAAAGCCACGGCUAACUACGUG